Molecule: non-coding RNA, 21 nt
Filed under: Caenorhabditis elegans
Lineage: Eukaryota; Metazoa; Nematoda; Chromadorea; Rhabditida; Rhabditidae
Source: RNAcentral
UAUAUACGGUUAUUCCCAAUC